This 740-nucleotide ribosomal RNA is filed under the name Lentilactobacillus diolivorans. Its description in RNAcentral is "bacterial SSU rRNA". It matches the Rfam family "Bacterial small subunit ribosomal RNA", at positions 51 to 747 of the family's 1533-position model. The record is from RNAcentral. Lineage: Bacteria; Bacillati; Bacillota; Bacilli; Lactobacillales; Lactobacillaceae.
AUACAUGCAAGUCGAACGCGUCUUGGUCAAUGAUUUUAGGUGCUUGCACUUGACUGAUUUGACAUUGAGACGAGUGGCGAACUGGUGAGUAACACGUGGGUAACCUGCCCUUGAAGUAGAGGAUAACACUUGGAAACAGGUGCUAAUACUGCAUAACAACGAAAACCGCCUGGUUUUCGUUUGAAAGAUGGCUUCGGCUAUCGCUUUAGGAUGGACCCGCGGCGUAUUAGCUAGUUGGUGAGGUAACGGCUCACCAAGGCAAUGAUACGUAGCCGACCUGAGAGGGUAAUCGGCCACAUUGGGACUGAGACACGGCCCAAACUCCUACGGGAGGCAGCAGUAGGGAAUCUUCCACAAUGGACGAAAGUCUGAUGGAGCAACGCCGCGUGAGUGAUGAAGGGUUUCGGCUCGUAAAACUCUGUUGUUGGAGAAGAACGGGUGUCAGAGUAACUGUUGACAUCGUGACGGUAUCCAACCAGAAAGCCACGGCUAACUACGUGCCAGCAGCCGCGGUAAUACGUAGGUGGCAAGCGUUGUCCGGAUUUAUUGGGCGUAAAGCGAGCGCAGGCGGUUUUUUAGGUCUGAUGUGAAAGCCUUCGGCUUAACCGGAGAAGUGCAUCGGAAACCGGGAGACUUGAGUGCAGAAGAGGACAGUGGAACUCCAUGUGUAGCGGUGAAAUGCGUAGAUAUAUGGAAGAACACCAGUGGCGAAGGCGGCUGUCUGGUCUGCAACUGACGCU